This 1608-nucleotide ribosomal RNA is filed under the name Triticum aestivum (bread wheat). RNAcentral's name for it is "partial small subunit ribosomal RNA". The record is from RNAcentral. Lineage: Eukaryota; Viridiplantae; Streptophyta; Magnoliopsida; Poales; Poaceae.
AUGUGGCCGUCAGACAGGAUUCUCGUUGAACUUGGGAAAGACACUACAAGCAGCAGAGAGAAUGAGAUCUACUUUGAUGGCUGGGAUGGUCUCGGGGCAUCUGCCGUCCUGCAAUCCGUAGCCAAACGCCUUGGAGCGUCAAAUGAGCAGUCAAUGAGGCCUGCAGAGCUGCAAUUUGAGAAAAUCAUCCACAUUGACUGCUCAAAGUGGGAGAGCAGAAGAGCAAUGCAGAGGGAAAUAGCAGAGCAGCUGAACCUUCCCAAUUGGGUGAUGGAGAUGUUGGACAAACAAGAUGAGGAGGAUGAUUUCAAUGGGUUAGACCAGGGCUCCCGAACUGAGAUAGCACAAGUUGUCAGAGAGAUCUAUCAAACCACACAGAAUCACAGAUUCUUGGUAAUCCUGCACAAUGGAAGCAGUGAGGAGAUUGAUAUAUUCGAUUUUGGUCUUUCUCUAGAUCGAUAUGCCAAUAGCAAGAUUCUGUGGACUUUCCAAGGGAGGUUCCGGAUUGCUCCCAAGAUGACAGACAGUGUGAAGAAGAGCAGAACAACAGAUGUUAUUCUUUCAGCUUCAAGUGGUGAGCGAGAUCCACGUGAGCAUUGGUUCUAUUUAGUGCGUGAGGAGGCUGCACAAGUUGCCUUCAAUAAGCAUGGUCACUGCAUCAUCGAUCCAGGGAUUGCUACUAACUGUGUUUUGUAUGCACUUAUACUAUCCUGGUUUGGCCUUCGCAUCAAUGACUAUGACUGGGCUAACCACAGCAGUAACUAUUGGGUAUGUGAUGGUGUCAUUGCACUGACAGACAUUGAUAAAGCAUGGCAAGUUGGCAACGUUUUGCAGCAUGAGGUGCCAUUGUUGCACAUUAACACCCGACUCAACAAGGAUGAAUCAGCAGUAAUGGCUUCCUACCACCCAGCAAGGUCGGCUGAGCUCAUGCCGUAUUGGACUACCACAACAACUUCGACUUUUGGAUUUGUAGUGAGCCCAUGUGGUGUUAUCCCCAAUAACACGUUUCGGCACUCACACAGGCUCGGCGUGCUCAAGCUCUCAAGGUGUGCCUUCAGUUUCUCAUCGCCUCCAUUCCUCUAUUGCCAAGGCCUGAGAUUCCUAUGGCUUGACCACUGCCAAGACCUCCCAACGAGAAGCACCACAGAUCAUCACCAUACCGAGGCAGACAAGGAAGAUGAGUUGGACAGCAACACCACAUCAUUAUGGGAAUGCUUCAGAAGCUUGUGGGUGCUUGACCUGCGCUGCACAGAUUGUGAUUGGAUCUUGUCUGCACGGAUGAUGGAUCUCAUGACCCAGCUCAGGGAGCUAAAUGUGAUGGGUGCUGAAAACUUGGACAUGAGCCAUUUGCGAGGACGAAUGCGUAACAUUCGCAAGCUCCGGGUAACAAAGUCCACCUGCUUCUUCAGCAACCACGUGUUCUCAGAAAUGGAAAGCAUGGAGCUUCUAGUAUUUUCAGGAAAUUACCUCGAACAACACAUGCUAAGCUUAUCUGUGUCAGCCAGCAACAGUCGACUUAAAGCUGUCAUUGUUGAUGGAUGUGAUGGGUUAAAAGUUGUCACUUUUAGGGGCUGCAAAGAAUUGGAGAAUCUAUUCAUCAAAGGAUAG